UACGGGGGGGGCAAGCGUUGUUCGGAAUUACUGGGCGUAAAGGGCUUGUAGGCGGCCAACUAAGUCCGACGUGAAAUCCCCAGGCUUAACCUGGGAACUGCGUCGGAUACUGGAUGGCUUGAAUUCGGGAGAGGGAUGUGGAAUUCCAGGUGUAGCGGUGAAAUGCGUAGAUAUCUGGAGGAACACCGGUGGCGAAGGCGGCAUCCUGGACCGAUAUUGACGCUGAUGCGCGAAAGCCAGGGGAGCAAACGGG
RNAcentral lists this ribosomal RNA (253 nucleotides) under uncultured bacterium. RNAcentral's name for it is "partial 16S ribosomal RNA". It matches the Rfam family "Bacterial small subunit ribosomal RNA", at positions 524 to 776 of the family's 1533-position model. The record is from RNAcentral.